This 73-nucleotide transfer RNA is filed under the name Octopus bimaculoides (California two-spot octopus). Its description in RNAcentral is "transfer RNA arginine (anticodon CCU)". It matches the Rfam family "tRNA". From Rfam's summary of the family: Transfer RNA (tRNA) molecules are approximately 80 nucleotides in length. Their secondary structure includes four short double-helical elements and three loops (D, anti-codon, and T loops). Further hydrogen bonds mediate the characteristic L-shaped molecular structure. tRNAs have two regions of fundamental functional importance: the anti-codon, which is responsible for specific mRNA codon recognition, and the 3' end, to which the tRNAs corresponding amino acid is attached (by aminoacyl-tRNA synthetases). tRNAs cope with the degeneracy of the genetic code in two manners: having more than one tRNA (with a specific anti-codon) for a particular amino acid; and 'wobble' base-pairing, i.e. permitting non-standard base-pairing at the 3rd anti-codon position. The record is from RNAcentral. Lineage: Eukaryota; Metazoa; Mollusca; Cephalopoda; Octopoda; Octopodidae.
GCCUCCGUAGCCCAAUGGAUAAGGCAUCGGCCUCCUAAGCCGGGAAUUGCGGGUUCGAGUCCCGUCGGAGGUA